RNAcentral lists this small RNA (408 nucleotides) under Pan troglodytes (chimpanzee). RNAcentral's name for it is "processed transcript". Lineage: Eukaryota; Metazoa; Chordata; Mammalia; Primates; Hominidae. The record is from RNAcentral.
GGGCUCUGCCCCCGGCACGGCCAUCGGCCACGGCUGGAGAUAGCCUGGGGACCCCUACCAGCCCCACGACGGCCCCAAGUGCAGGGAUGGAGGAGGGCGUCCGGACAGAGAGAAGGGACGAAUGGCAGGGCGUUUGUCCUGAGCAGCCAAAGCGCAAGAAUUCAUGAAAGCUGAGCAAAUUAAAGAUGAGUCUUUAAAGAUAACACAAAAAGUUCCCAGCCAAGAUGGACGAAUAGGAACAACUCUGGUCUGCAGUUCCCAGUGAGACCAAUGCAGAAGGAGGAGGAUGAAGCUCAGAAAGUUCAGUUGACCUGAGAAAAGUCACACAGACAGUGACUAGCAAAACUGCAAGCGGACUAAUACUUACCUGAUUCGAAGUCUCCUGAUGGUUUUGCUAUGCCUCCACGU